GAGUUUGAUCUUGGCUCAGGAUGAACGCUGGCGGCGUGCCUAAUACAUGCAAGUCGAGCGAACGGACGAGAAGCUUGCUUCUCUGAUGUUAGCGGCGGACGGGUGAGUAACACGUGGAUAACCUACCUAUAAGACUGGGAUAACUUCGGGAAACCGGAGCUAAUACCGGAUAAUAUUUUGAACCGCAUGGUUCAAAAGUGAAAGACGGUCUUGCUGUCACUUAUAGAUGGAUCCGCGCUGCAUUAGCUAGUUGGUAAGGUGACGGCUUACCAAGGCAACGAUGCAUAGCCGACCUGAGAGGGUGAUCGGCCACACUGGAACUGAGACACGGUCCAGACUCCUACGGGAGGCAGCAGUAGGGAAUCUUCCGCAAUGGGCGAAAGCCUGACGGAGCAACGCCGCGUGAGUGAUGAAGGUCUUCGGAUCGUAAAACUCUGUUAUUAGGGAGAACAUAUGUGUAAGUAACUGUGCACAUCUUGACGGUACCUAAUCAGAAAGCCACGGCUAACUACG
Molecule: ribosomal RNA, 513 nt
Filed under: uncultured microorganism
Description: bacterial SSU rRNA
Rfam family: Bacterial small subunit ribosomal RNA
Source: RNAcentral